UGAAAUAAAUAACUAUGAAGUCCUGAGAAUAACUGCAUAUUCCUUUCAUGUUAAGGCCAAAGUUAAAGGGGCUAGCGUAAGCUAUGGGACCCUAUACUUUACAUCUUACCAAUAAUUCUAUUCCAUCUUAUCACUAUAAUCCAACCUUAGGUCUCAAAUCAAGGGGUACUAGCUGCAUAAUAUUAGGGUUUUGUGCAUCUAUCAAUCAUCACAUCCAAGCCUAUCUUUAUUAUACCCUAUUUAUAGAUCUCCCCACCAAAACUAGCAAC
Molecule: long non-coding RNA, 269 nt
Filed under: Capsicum annuum
Lineage: Eukaryota; Viridiplantae; Streptophyta; Magnoliopsida; Solanales; Solanaceae
Description: long non-coding RNA (CANN_LNC004789)
Source: RNAcentral